CCGAGUCCAACCUCGAUGGUUCUAAUGAUUUUAUUGCUCAGUGGCAAAAUAAAUCAAAGCAACGAUAAUCCCAAAGUCACAUUUAAACAUGUCAGUGACUGCUAGGAAGCAGAGGGUAUGGAAUGAAAAUGGAGACUCUUCCCUACUUCCCAUUCCCAGCCUCACCUGCUUUGGGAAAAAAAACCCACCCCAACUGAAAGGGCUGUCCGAUCCCAAUACAUAAGAGCUCCUUCCUUGUCCCUACUCCCGAUUCUCCUUGCUGCUGCUGGAUUCUGUGCCUUGGACCUUGCCCUGCCACUUCGGAGCCACUGAAA
Molecule: long non-coding RNA, 314 nt
Filed under: Mus caroli (Ryukyu mouse)
Lineage: Eukaryota; Metazoa; Chordata; Mammalia; Rodentia; Muridae
Description: predicted gene 43236 (MGP_CAROLIEiJ_G0004257.1)
Source: RNAcentral